Molecule: ribosomal RNA, 301 nt
Filed under: uncultured bacterium
Lineage: Bacteria
Description: partial 16S ribosomal RNA
Rfam family: Bacterial small subunit ribosomal RNA
Source: RNAcentral
CAGUCGCCGCGGGAAUACGUAGGGUCCGAGCGUUGUCCGGAAUUAUUGGGCGUAAAGGGCUCGUAGGCGGUUUGUCGCGUCGGGAGUGAAAACCAGCAGCUUAACUGUUGGCCUGCUUUCGAUACGGGCAGACUUGAGGCAUUCAGGGGAGAACGGAAUUCCUGGUGUAGCGGUGAAAUGCGCAGAUAUCAGGAGGAACACCGGUGGCGAAGGCGGUUCUCUGGGAAUGUUCUGACGCUGAGGAGCGAAAGUGUGGGGAGCGAACAGGAUUAGAUACCCCAGUAGUCCCUGUCUCUUAUAC